GGGGGAGGAGGGGGUAAUACUGAAGAAUAAAGAGAUGGGCUUGGUGUUUGCAGGGGUGGUGGGUGGACGGAUUUAUUUGACGGAGAAUGAGAAAGAGAGAACGAGGCGGGAGAGACGGUAGUGUUUGCAGAGGUAGGGGUGGGGGCAGAUGGGUUUGAUGGAGGAGGGAGAAGGGUGGUUUGAAGAAGAAAGGAAAUUAGGGUGGG
Molecule: long non-coding RNA, 206 nt
Filed under: Capsicum annuum
Lineage: Eukaryota; Viridiplantae; Streptophyta; Magnoliopsida; Solanales; Solanaceae
Description: long non-coding RNA (CANN_LNC014761)
Source: RNAcentral